Molecule: ribosomal RNA, 292 nt
Filed under: uncultured eukaryote
Lineage: Eukaryota
Description: partial 18S ribosomal RNA
Rfam family: Eukaryotic small subunit ribosomal RNA
Source: RNAcentral
GGUUGAUCCUGCCAGUAACAUAUGCUUGUCUCAAAGAUUAAGCCAUGCAUGUCUAAGUAUAAACAACUUUAUACUGUGAAACUGCGUACAGCUCAUUAAAUCAGUCAUUAUUUAUUUGAUGGUUUCUUACUUCACAUGGAUACCCGUAGUAAUUCUAGAGCUAAUACAUGCAAAAAAUCCCGACUUUUGAAGGGAUGUAUUUAUUAGAUAAAAAACCAAUGCACUUCGGUGGUUUGUGGUGACUCAUAAUAACUGAUCGAAUCGCAUGGCCUUGUGCUGGCGAUAGUUCAUU